AAUGAACGCUGGCGGCGUGCCUAACACAUGCAAGUCGGAUGUGCCGCAAGGUGCAUGGCAGACGGGUGAGUAACGCGUAGGGAAUCUACCUUUUUGUGGGGAAUAACGCUCCGAAAGGAGUGGUAAUACCGCAUGAGACCGUGAGCUGAGAUGUUCACGGUGAAAGCUGGGGACCGCAGGGCCUGGGGCAAAAAGAGGAUCCUGCGUCUGAUUAGCUAGUUGGCGGGGUAAUGGCCCACCAAGGCGACGAUCAGUAGCCGGCCUGAGAGGGUGAUCGGCCACACUGGAACUGAGACACGGUCCAGACUCCUACGGGAGGCAGCAGUGGGGAAUUUUGCGCAAUGGACGAAAGUCUGACGCAGCAACGCCGCGUGGGUGAUGAAGGUCUUCGGACUGUAAAACCCUGUCGUCAGGGACGAAGGUGGCAGUGUUAAUAGCGCUGUUACUUGACGGUACCUUGAGAGGAAGCCCCGGCUAACUCUGUG
Molecule: ribosomal RNA, 485 nt
Filed under: uncultured bacterium
Lineage: Bacteria
Description: partial 16S ribosomal RNA
Rfam family: Bacterial small subunit ribosomal RNA
Source: RNAcentral